Molecule: transfer RNA, 74 nt
Filed under: Streptocarpus saxorum
Lineage: Eukaryota; Viridiplantae; Streptophyta; Magnoliopsida; Lamiales; Gesneriaceae
Also listed under: 42 other names
Description: partial tRNA-Leu
Rfam family: tRNA
About the family: Transfer RNA (tRNA) molecules are approximately 80 nucleotides in length. Their secondary structure includes four short double-helical elements and three loops (D, anti-codon, and T loops). Further hydrogen bonds mediate the characteristic L-shaped molecular structure. tRNAs have two regions of fundamental functional importance: the anti-codon, which is responsible for specific mRNA codon recognition, and the 3' end, to which the tRNAs corresponding amino acid is attached (by aminoacyl-tRNA synthetases). tRNAs cope with the degeneracy of the genetic code in two manners: having more than one tRNA (with a specific anti-codon) for a particular amino acid; and 'wobble' base-pairing, i.e. permitting non-standard base-pairing at the 3rd anti-codon position.
Source: RNAcentral
CGAAAUCGGUAGACGCUACGGACUAAAAUCCGUCGACUUUAAAAAUCGUGAGGGUUCAAGUCCCUCUAUCCCCA